Molecule: long non-coding RNA, 2043 nt
Filed under: Linum usitatissimum (flax)
Lineage: Eukaryota; Viridiplantae; Streptophyta; Magnoliopsida; Malpighiales; Linaceae
Description: long non-coding RNA (LUSI_LNC006953)
Rfam family: Small nucleolar RNA SNORD14 (bases 883-1006)
Source: RNAcentral
AGCUAGGGUUUCUCUGACCUAAUGUUAUAUAGCCGCUUCCCUCUUCUUCUUAUUCUCCAAUCUGCAUCCCACACAAGCUUCGAUUAUCCACCUCCAUUCUCCCGUUCUUUACUUUUACAACCGGUUUUUAAAUCACAUGCGCAGCCCUUAAGAUCGCCUUCCAGAUUCCAAUGGAAGCGUUUUGAGUCAUAGCUGCGCGAGAUCAAAUCUCCAUUUAUUUGGAAGGUUCCUCCGCAGGGUUUUCCUGCAGAGGGACCUCUUCUUCCCCCGCAUGCUGUUCCUCAAUGGCGAGCCGUUUUUCUCCUGCUUUUUGAUUUGGAUGUCUGUUAGCUCCCUGCUAUUUUGGGUAGCUUCCAGUUUCUGGAAAAAAUUCAAUUUGCAGAGCUUUCAGAUUCCAAUUCUUUGGACCUGUAGAUGCCUCGCUCUCGUGUGGGAAACAUUUCAAAGUCUGAAUAUAGAUUGAAAUUCUCUUGCUUUUUUCGGAUUGAUCUGUUGCUUUGGAUGAACAAUCAAUUAGAUGCGUGAACGGUGGUAAUUUCAUCCGUAUUGAACUCAAACCAUUUGAGGCAUAUAAUUUUGUCUUACUUAGCUGCAUUUUCAAUACUAUGAAUCGUUUGCUUUCUGAAUGCUGAUGGUUGCUUGUCUUGUGUUGAAAUUGGCUUAGGGAUGAUGAAUCAAUUAGAUGCGUGAAUGGAUGAUUAAUGUAUUUUUAAUCGUCUGUGCUGAACUCAAACCAUUUGAGGCAUAUAAUUUGUCUGACUUCUGCCACAUUCCAUUACAUGUUGAGCUAGUUUUCAAAGCUUGUCUCUUUUUAGAAGUUUGGCUGUGAAAUGCAGUAGUCUGUCAUCUUGCUCUGUUUCCGGUUCUGGUUUAGGGGUGUGAGGUCAGUGAUGAUAAAUCUUAAGGCUUGUUUCUCAAAACAUUCGCAGUGGCCGCCUAAAGCUUUCGCCUUUCGCCGGGCUUGAGAGCUAAUGCUGCUCUUAUCCUUCCUUGGAUGUCUGAGAUCUCUAGCAUUUCCAAUAUAUAAUGUUAAACAUCUUCAGUACCAACCAUCUUUACUAAAAUUCUAUUGUAUGUCUGUGAUGAUAACUCCAAAGGCUUGUUUCUCAAAACAUUCGCAGUGGCCGCCUAAAGCUUUCGCCUUUCGCCGGGCUUGAGAGCUAAUGCUGCUCUUAUCCUUCCUUGGAUGUCUGAGACUCUUAGAACAUAAUGAAUUACCUUGAAUCAAGUUUAUCUUGUGCAUCUAAUUGUAUUCUUUGUGCUGUCUUCAAUUAACUGCUUUUCAGGUCACUGAUUUCCUUGGUGGGAUCCAGGGGCGGAAUUGCAGGUGACCACGAACAGAUGGCAAUUGCAGAUGCUUUACCUUGCAACAUCAGCUGCGGCCGUUUUGCUCUUGACUUGAACAAGAUUCUUGGCUUUGAUUGUUGUAGUUUCGUCAUUAUAGAUCUACACAUUGUUGUGUAUGUAAAUUGAAUCAAACUUGCUUCAGCUAUGUAAAAGAAAGGAUUCUGAGAGUUUAUUAUCUGUAAUGCUAAGCCAUGUAGUCAAACCUACUUUCGAAGUCCUUUUGCGUUCUCUGCUAAGUGACUGAUUUAUUCACUAAUUUUAUGCGGAUCAUAAGUAUUAACUUGGUUACCAUCGAAUCGGCGCCAAUAGAUGUCUUCUUUCAUUUGUCAAUCUCCUUCACAGUUCACUCCGCUGCCCGUGUAAGGCCAGGCCUCAAAUUGUUGAAGACAAGGUUGUUUCUCGCUUUCCACAGGUUUCAGCACAUGCUAGUAGCCAUCCUUGCCAUCUCAGUGUGACCAGAGUUCCUAAAGGCAAAGAACCAAUCCAAGAUAGAGCUGUCAACAACGGGGGUAGUAAUGGAGGGAAAAUGAGCCAAGUUAAACGAACAAGAUGGAGGGAAAAUGAGCCAAUCAUGAUAUAAUAAUGAUAUUUUCUUGAAUCAUCCUACCGCCGGUAAAAUGAAUAUGCAAAACCAAGUUUAGAAGAGCUCCCUACUCUCCCAUGCAGGAAAAGAGGUCCUCCUCAAAGCGGUGGUGC